Molecule: long non-coding RNA, 843 nt
Filed under: Apteryx haastii (Great spotted kiwi)
Lineage: Eukaryota; Metazoa; Chordata; Aves; Apterygiformes; Apterygidae
Description: lncRNA (ENSAHAG00000000213.1)
Source: RNAcentral
CACCUCCCCCGUCCCCACCGUCCCCACCGUGCCGUCGCCUCGCCCCGCAGGCUGGCGCGGCGCCGACUGCUCCGAGCCCUGCGCCGCCGGCACCUGGGGCCCCGGCUGCAACCGGAGCUGCGAGUGCGCCCACGGAGCCGCCUGCAGCCCCCGGAGCGGCGCGUGCAGCUGCGCCGCCGGCUGGCGCGGCCCCCGCUGCCGGCAGCCCUGCCUGGUGAGUGCGGGGGGGACGCACCGGCAUGCACCGGGAUGCACCGGGAUGCACCGGGACAGGGGGCUGCCCCAGCGCUGACAUCCCGGCCUUUUCCCCCCCCCCUUCCGCCGCCCAGAAUGGCACGUUCGGCUCCGGCUGCAGCCAGCAAUGCUCCUGCGCCCAUGCGGCCGGCUGCGACCCCGUCACCGGCACGUGCCACUGCCUGCCGGGAUGGACAGGGCCGCGGUGCGAGCGGAGCUGCGAGCCGGGUUUCUGGGGCCAGGGCUGCAGCCAGCCGUGCGCCUGCCGCAACGGAGCCGCCUGCUCGCCCCAGGACGGGUCCUGCACCUGCGCCCCGGGCUACCGCGGCCCCGCGUGCCAGCGCCCCUGCCAGCCGGGCCGCUACGGGAAGAAGUGCGCGCUGGCCUGCUCCUGCGGCAACCGCUCCUCCUGCCACCCCGCCGACGGCUCCUGCCUCUGCGCCCCGGGCUGGACCGGCGGCRACUGCUCCCGCCCCUGCGCCCCCGGCACCUUCGGGCUCCAGUGCGCCCAGCUCUGCSAGUGCCCCCCCAACGCCACGUGCCACCCGGAGAGCGGGACGUGCCAGUGCGCCCCGGGCAGGAUCGGGCCCCGCUGCGAGCCUGGUGAGC